CAUGAAGCUGGAAUCGCUAGUAAUCGCGGAUCAGAAUGCCGCGGUGAAUACGUUCCCGGGUCUUGUACACACCGCCCGUCACACCAUGGGAGUCGGAAAUGCCCGAAGUCUGUGACCCAACCGCGAGGAGGGAGCAGCCGAAGGCAGGUCGGAUGACUGGGGUGAAGUCGUAACAAGGUACC
RNAcentral lists this ribosomal RNA (182 nucleotides) under uncultured bacterium. RNAcentral's name for it is "partial 16S ribosomal RNA". It matches the Rfam family "Bacterial small subunit ribosomal RNA", at positions 1319 to 1500 of the family's 1533-position model. The record is from RNAcentral.